UGGAGAAAAGCAGGGGAUCGUAAGACCUUGCGCUUUUGGAGCGGCCGAUGCCUGAUUAGCUAGUUGGUGGGGUAAUGGCCUACCAAGGCUACGAUCAGUAGUUGGUCUGAGAGGACGGCCAGCCACACUGGGACUGAGACACGGCCCAGACUCCUACGGGAGGCAGCAGUGGGGAAUUUUGGACAAUGGGCGCAAGCCUGAUCCAGCAAUGCCGCGUGAGUGAAGAAGGCCUUCGGGUUGUAAAGCUCUUUCAGUCGAGAAGAAAAGAUUGCGACGAAUAAUCGCAAUUCAUGACGGUAUCGACAGAAGAAGCACCGGCUAACUACGUGCCAGCAGCCGCGGUAAUACGUAGGGUGCGAGCGUUAAUCGGAAUUACUGGGCGUAAAGGGUGCGCAGGCGGCUUUGUAAGUCAGAUGUGA
RNAcentral lists this ribosomal RNA (419 nucleotides) under uncultured ammonia-oxidizing beta proteobacterium. RNAcentral's name for it is "bacterial SSU rRNA". It matches the Rfam family "Bacterial small subunit ribosomal RNA", at positions 197 to 597 of the family's 1533-position model. The record is from RNAcentral. Lineage: Bacteria; Pseudomonadati; Pseudomonadota; Betaproteobacteria.